This 314-nucleotide unclassified non-coding RNA is filed under the name plant metagenome. RNAcentral describes it as "partial contains 5.8S ribosomal RNA, internal transcribed spacer 2, and large subunit ribosomal RNA". The stretch from base 1 to 105 matches the Rfam family "5.8S ribosomal RNA", at positions 50 to 154 of the family's 154-position model. The record is from RNAcentral.
GAAAUGCGAUAAUUAAUGUGAAUUGCAGAAUUCAGUGAAUCAUCGAGUCUUUGAACGCACAUUGCGCCCCCUGGUAUUCCGGGGGGCAUGCCUGUCCGAGCGUCAUUGCUGCCCUCAAGCACGGCUUGUGUGUUGGGCUUCCGUCCCUGGCAACGGGGACGGGCCCAAAAGGCAGUGGCGGCACCAUGUCUGGUCCUCGAGCGUAUGGGGCUUUGUCACCCGCUACCGUAGGUCCAGCUGGCAGCUAGCCUCGCAACCAAUCUUUUUAACCAGGUUGACCUCGGAUCAGGUAGGGAUACCCGCUGAACUUAAGC